Molecule: long non-coding RNA, 3667 nt
Filed under: Glycine max (soybean)
Lineage: Eukaryota; Viridiplantae; Streptophyta; Magnoliopsida; Fabales; Fabaceae
Description: long non-coding RNA (GMAX_LNC002048)
Source: RNAcentral
GCAAACGAUAAGAAAUGUUAUCAGAAACAUUGGCGAUCCCUGCAGUACUCCUUGUAAUACUCAUUUUGAUUCUAUCCUCUGUCUUGUUCCAUCUUCAAGAUGAAAGAACAAAUCCACCAGGUCCUAAACCCCUCCCAAUUAUUGGUAACCUUCACAUGCUGGGGAAACUCCCACAUCGUUCCCUUCAAGCCCUUGCCAAAAAUUAUGGACCCAUAAUGUUCAUAAAGUUGGGACAAGUCCCAACCGUUGUAGUUUCCUCCCCUGAAACUGCAGAGCUAUUCCUCAAAACCCAUGACACUAUCUUUGCUAGCAGGCCAAAAACUCUAGCUUCAGAAUACAUGUCUUAUGGAAGUAAGGGCCUAGCGUUCUCUGAGUAUGGACCCUAUUGGCGUAACGUGAAAAAGUUGUGCACCACACAACUUCUGAGUGCAUCAAAGGUCGAGAUGUUCGCUCCAUUGAGGAGGGAGGAGUUAGGAGUAUUUGUGAAGUCACUCGAAAAAGCAGCAGCCUCACGUGAUGUUGUGAAUCUGAGUGAACAGGUUGGGGAGCUUAUAUCGAAUAUUGUGUGUAGAAUGAUACUUGGCCGCAGUAAGGAUGAUAGAUUCGACCUAAAGGGGCUUGCUCGUGAGGUUCUGCGUUUGACUGGAGUGUUCAAUAUUGCAGAUUAUGUUCCUUGGACAGGCUUCUUGGAUCUUCAGGUAUGAGCUUCAACUACAUGAUCUUAUUUAAUCCCUUCUUAUACCUUUCAUCAAAGUGCUACUUUCCCUUCUAAAUAUAUAGUCCCUUAAGUAAUAAAAUUGAUUAAGCACUUCUUGUAAAAUAGUAUUGAAUGUUUGCAAACUCGUGAUUAACUUACCCCUUAAUGGGUAUUUUUUUUAAAAAUCUACCGCCAUUUGUUAAUAUUGAAAAAGAAUUGUCCCCUUUGGAUAAAAAACCGUAAGUGGUUAGGCUAUAUUAACACAUGAAGCAUAGUAAAUAUUGUUGGAUUUUUUGACUUGGAUUGUACAUUUGUGUGAAGUUUAUUACUACUAUAUAUGCCACUUAAUCAUUUAGAAAAUCUACAACAGGGACUAAAAGGAAAAAUGAAGAAAAUGAGUAAGGCAUUUGACGAAGUGUUUGAACAAAUCAUAAAAGACCAUGAAGAUCCUUCUGCAAGCAACAAGAAUAGUGUGCACUCUGAAGAUUUUGUGGACAUACUGCUAUCACAUAUGCACCAAGCUGUGAAUCAGCAAGAGCAGAAAUAUGUCAUUGGUAGAACUAAUAUCAAGGCAAUUAUAUUAGAUAUGAUUGCAGGGUCAUUUGACACAUCAGCUGUUGCAGUUGAAUGGGCUAUGUCGGAACUCUUAAGGAACCCAAGUGAUAUGAAGAAACUUCAAGAAGAGUUAAAUAAUGUAGUGGGGGAAAAUAAACUAGUGGAGGAGUCUGACUUGUCAAAGUUGCCUUAUUUGAACAUGGUAGUAAAGGAGACCUUAAGGUUAUAUCCGGCUGGACCCUUGCUAGUGCCUCGCGAGUCCCUAGAAGAUAUUACUAUUAAUGGUUAUCACAUAAAGAAGAAGACAAGAAUUUUAGUCAAUGCAUGGGCCAUUGGACGAGACCCUAAAGUUUGGUCAGAUAAUGCUGAUAUGUUUUGUCCAGAGAGGUUUGUGAAUAGCAAUGUAGACAUUAGAGGACAUGACUUUCAACUUUUACCAUUUGGUUCUGGUCGAAGAGGAUGUCCUGGGAUUCAAUUGGGUCUGACCACAUUUGGCCUUGUUUUGGCUCAAUUAGUGCAUUGUUUCAAUUGGGAGCUUCCAUUUGGUGUGUCUCCUGAUGACUUAGAUAUGAGUGAGAUAUUUGGCCUUUCACUACCAAGAAGCAAGCCCUUGCUAGCUAUACCAACUUAUCGCCUAUUUAUCAAAGCUUAACUAAGGGUCCUUUCGAUUGAGUAGAAAAAAAUAAAAUAAAGAUCAAAUGGUUCAUUUAUCUUUAGAAAAAUUCAUUUUAGUUCUUUAUCUUUUUAAAUUGCCUGCUUAGGAUUGGUGAGCUUCUUAUUGCAGGAAUUAGGAUGGAUCUAGAUGUUUAUGUCUGAGUCAUUGUAAAAUCAAUAAUGUAUUUAUAUAUUGAUUCUACUCAGAUCUUCAAAUCAGAGGUUUUGACUUUUUAGAUCUUCUCUCUGGAGGCUUCUUCAUAUUUACUUCUCUACAUGUUUAGAGUUUCUCAUGUAUGUUGGCAUACGACCAAGUCUAUAGCUUUUACUUUUUAUCUUUUAAUAAUAUGAAAUGGAAGUGGGCCGGCCUUCGGAUAUUUACUUAUGGUCUGAGUAUCUCUUUUUGAUCUUGGUUGUUCCCUUGGUGUUGAUUCAUGAUAUGAUAUUGGACUUGUUCCUUUAUCAUUCUUUUAAUAAGUGACAUUUUUAAUUCAAUUUUAUGAAUAAAUAUUAUUAAAAUGAGUGACUGUGAUAUAACAUACAGUAAUAUUUUUUUAAUGGCUGCUAUUAAAACAAAAUCCUUUAAUCGGGAUUCAUCAAAGACCCAUAUAUCUCAUUUAAUAUUACAGUUGUUAAUUAAUAGCACUUUGAUAAUAAACCGGCAUCUUUAAAUAUUACUCCCUAACAUUUAUGUUUUUUUAAUUAAGAAGAGUAAUAAAUAAUUUAAUUAAUAAAAUAAUUUCACUAAAUUAACAAAGUUUACAUAUUGAAUUAACAAUAACAUUUUAAAAAUUUAGAGGGACUAAAAAUAUAUUUUACUCAUUAUUUAUUUAUGAAAAAACUAGAAUAAAAAUUUAACGAUCCAUUAACAAUUUAAAACAUCGAAAGCACCACUUAAUAUGAAACCUUAUUUUGAGUUUAAAUAUCACUUAUUUUAAGAUGUAUGAAAAUCUAUUUUUAACGUAUUAGAUUUUAAAAGAGUUUUACUUACAUUAAUUUAAGGAUAAAAUAAAUGUUAGAUUAGAAGAAUUAAUUUCUCCUACGGAUAAAAUAAAAAAAAAAAGAAUUAAUUUCAUUCAAAUAAUAAAAGAAAAAUACACUUCCGACUCCACUACUGCUCUCAUAUGUUUGUAUGUACAGGUUCUUCGGCCAGUCAAAAAAUAUGAAUUGAAUCCAAUUAUCGAAAACGAACUUUUAUUUAAUUAUCUUUUCUGUCCUUAUCUCAACCCCCAGUGUGGAUCAUGUGGCUACUAUUAACUCGUAUAUUCUCAACGGAUGGAGGUUUAAUUUUUUCUGUCCUUCAUAAAAUUUUGCUUGGUGGGAAGUAUCCUAUUUUUUAUAAAGUUAUUCUGAGACACCCAUCAAACAUAUACUUUAUAUUGUUAAAAGAAAAAAUCUCUUGCAUCAUUAUAUAAAUGCCAUAUUGGUGUAUAAGACCCAAACCAUUCUCAUUUUCCAUCAAGCAAACGAUAAGAAAUGUUAUCAGAAACAUUGGCCAUCCCUGCAGUACUCCUUGCAAUACUCAUUUUGAUUCUAUCCUCUGUCUUGUUCCAUCUUCAAGAUGAAAGAACAAAUCCACCAGGUCCUAAACCCCUCCCAAUUAUUGGUAACCUUCACAUGCUGGGGAAACUCCCCCAUCGCUCCCUUCAAGCCCUUGCCAAAAAUUAUGGACCCAUAAUGUUCAUAAAGUUGGGACAAGUCCCAACCGUUGUAGUUUCCUCCCCUGAAACUGCAGAGCUAUUCCUCAAAACCCAUGACACU